CAGCCGCCGCGGUAAUACAGAGGGUGCGAGCGUUAAUCGGAUUUACUGGGCGUAAAGCGUGCGUAGGCGGCUUCUUAAGUCGGAUGUGAAAUCCCUGAGCUUAACUUAGGAAUUGCAUUCGAUACUGGGAAGCUAGAGUAUGGGAGAGGAUGGUAGAAUUCCAGGUGUAGCGGUGAAAUGCGUAGAGAUCUGGAGGAAUACCGAUGGCGAAGGCAGCCAUCUGGCCUAAUACUGACGCUGAGGUACGAAAGCAUGGGGAGCAAACAGGAUUAGAUACCCCCGUAGUCCCUGUCUCUUAUAC
This 301-nucleotide ribosomal RNA is filed under the name uncultured bacterium. RNAcentral describes it as "partial 16S ribosomal RNA". It matches the Rfam family "Bacterial small subunit ribosomal RNA", at positions 509 to 807 of the family's 1533-position model. The record is from RNAcentral.